RNAcentral lists this ribosomal RNA (1163 nucleotides) under Enterobacter sp. 3071O2. RNAcentral describes it as "bacterial SSU rRNA". It matches the Rfam family "Bacterial small subunit ribosomal RNA", at positions 111 to 1271 of the family's 1533-position model. Lineage: Bacteria; Pseudomonadati; Pseudomonadota; Gammaproteobacteria; Enterobacterales; Enterobacteriaceae. The record is from RNAcentral.
UAAUGUCUGGGAAACUGCCUGAUGGAGGGGGAUAACUACUGGAAACGGUAGCUAAUACCGCAUAACGUCGCAAGACCAAAGAGGGGGACCUUCGGGCCUCUUGCCAUCAGAUGUGCCCAGAUGGGAUUAGCUAGUAGGUGGGGUAACGGCUCACCUAGGCGACGAUCCCUAGCUGGUCUGAGAGGAUGACCAGCCACACUGGAACUGAGACACGGUCCAGACUCCUACGGGAGGCAGCAGUGGGGAAUAUUGCACAAUGGGCGCAAGCCUGAUGCAGCCAUGCCGCGUGUAUGAAGAAGGCCUUCGGGUUGUAAAGUACUUUCAGCGGGGAGGAAGGCGAUAAGGUUAAUAACCUUGUCGAUUGACGUUACCCGCAGAAGAAGCACCGGCUAACUCCGUGCCAGCAGCCGCGGUAAUACGGAGGGUGCAAGCGUUAAUCGGAAUUACUGGGCGUAAAGCGCACGCAGGCGGUCUGUCAAGUCGGAUGUGAAAUCCCCGGGCUCAACCUGGGAACUGCAUUCGAAACUGGCAGGCUAGAGUCUUGUAGAGGGGGGUAGAAUUCCAGGUGUAGCGGUGAAAUGCGUAGAGAUCUGGAGGAAUACCGGUGGCGAAGGCGGCCCCCUGGACAAAGACUGACGCUCAGGUGCGAAAGCGUGGGGAGCAAACAGGAUUAGAUACCCUGGUAGUCCACGCCGUAAACGAUGUCGACUUGGAGGUUGUGCCCUUGAGGCGUGGCUUCCGGAGCUAACGCGUUAAGUCGACCGCCUGGGGAGUACGGCCGCAAGGUUAAAACUCAAAUGAAUUGACGGGGGCCCGCACAAGCGGUGGAGCAUGUGGUUUAAUUCGAUGCAACGCGAAGAACCUUACCUACUCUUGACAUCCAGAGAACUUAGCAGAGAUGGUUCGGUGCCUUCGGGAACUCUGAGACAGGUGCUGCAUGGCUGUCGUCAGCUCGUGUUGUGAAAUGUUGGGUUAAGUCCCGCAACGAGCGCAACCCUUAUCCUUUGUUGCCAGCGGUUAGGCCGGGAACUCAAAGGAGACUGCCAGUGAUAAACUGGAGGAAGGUGGGGAUGACGUCAAGUCAUCAUUGCCCUUACGAGUAGGGCUACACACGUGCUACAAUGGCGCAUACAAAGAGAAGCGACCUCGCGAGAGCAAGCGGA